Molecule: long non-coding RNA, 183 nt
Organism: Ornithodoros turicata
Lineage: Eukaryota; Metazoa; Arthropoda; Arachnida; Ixodida; Argasidae
Exons: 3
Source: RefSeq, a predicted model, not a curated record
CUGCAGGCGAUGCAAGUCCUUCUGACCUCGAGAUGGACUACUACGAUCUGGCAAUCCCACUUGAGCAUGAGGAAGUGGUAUCUGCCAGCCAUGACCUCCCAUGCUACUCAGGAGCUGCAUCUCCAACUAAGCACUGGGCAACGGCAGCACUAGAGGUCCCGGCUGAUCCCUGUGCACGUAUAC